Molecule: non-coding RNA, 95 nt
Organism: Paramarasmius palmivorus
Lineage: Eukaryota; Fungi; Basidiomycota; Agaricomycetes; Agaricales; Marasmiaceae
Source: the annotation of a GenBank genome assembly
UGCCCCAUGGCUGAGUUGGUUACAGCGUCCGACUGUUAUCUUGUCCCCGAGUAAAUGCAAUCGGAAGGUCGUGAGUUCGAGCCUCACUGGGGCAG